AGUCUUUUGUAUUCGUGUUGAGUUUUCGCCAACAAUCGAACCAUUAGGGCUGAUGUAACCCCCCAAAUAAGUGAAGUG
Molecule: microRNA precursor, 78 nt
Filed under: Trichobilharzia regenti
Lineage: Eukaryota; Metazoa; Platyhelminthes; Trematoda; Strigeidida; Schistosomatidae
Description: mir-3492 microRNA precursor family
Rfam family: mir-3492 microRNA precursor family
Source: Rfam by way of RNAcentral